Molecule: ribosomal RNA, 253 nt
Filed under: uncultured bacterium
Lineage: Bacteria
Description: partial 16S ribosomal RNA
Rfam family: Bacterial small subunit ribosomal RNA
Source: RNAcentral
UACGUAGGUGACAAGCGUUGUCCGGAUUUACUGGGCGUAAAGAGCGCGCAGGCGGUCGUUCAAGUCGAUUGUGAAAGCCCCCGGCUCAACUGGGGAGGGUCAUUCGAUACUGAUCGACUCGAAGGCAGGAGAGGGAAGUGGAAUUCCCGGUGUAGUGGUGAAAUGCGUAGAGAUCCGGCGGAACACCGGUGGUGAAGGCAGCCCCCUGGGUCAACACUGACGCUCAUGCACGAAAGCGUGGGGAGCAAACAGG